UUGAACUGUCUUCCCAACAUUGCUACAUCAUUUUCCAGAUCUUCAUCAAUAUCUUGACCACCUUCCUCAUCUUCCCCUUCAGUGUUUGACAUGAAGGCUAUGCUCUUGGCUUUGUUUUGAGAUCCAUCACACAUUCCCAUCUCAAAUGUUUGGAGAGAUCCAAUUAGCUCAUCAUCUCUCAUAUUUGAGAUGUCUUGAGAUUCUUCUAUGGCUGUCACCUUCAUAGCAAAUCUCUUAGGGAGUGACCUGAGUAUUUUCCUUACUAACUUUU
RNAcentral lists this long non-coding RNA (271 nucleotides) under Lathyrus oleraceus (garden pea). Its description in RNAcentral is "Pisum sativum (pea) long non-coding RNA (PSAT_LNC027902)". The record is from RNAcentral. Lineage: Eukaryota; Viridiplantae; Streptophyta; Magnoliopsida; Fabales; Fabaceae.